AGUGAACGCUGGCGGUAGGCCUAACACAUGCAAGUCGAACGGCAGCACAGUAAGAGCUUGCUCUUACGGGUGGCGAGUGGCGGACGGGUGAGGAAUACAUCGGAAUCUACUUUUUCGUGGGGGAUAGCGUAGGGAAACUUACGCUAAUACCGCAUACGACCUACGGGUGAAAGCAGGGGAUCUUCGGACCUUGCGCGAUUGAAUGAGCCGAUGUGGGAUUAGCUAGUUGGCGGGGUAAAGGCCCACCAAGGCGACGAUCGGUAGCUGGUCUGGGAGGAUGGUCAGCCACACUGGAAGUGAGACACGGUCCAGACUCCUACGGGAGGCAGCAGUGGGGAAUAUUGGACAAUGGGCGCAAGCCUGAUCCAGCCAGACCGCGUGGGUGGAGAAGGCCUUCGGGUUGUAAAGCCCUUUUGUUGGUAAAGAAAAGCAGCAGGUUAAUACCCCGCUGUUCUGACGGUACCCAGAGAAUAAGCACCGGCUAACUUCGUG
Molecule: ribosomal RNA, 492 nt
Filed under: uncultured bacterium
Lineage: Bacteria
Description: partial 16S ribosomal RNA
Rfam family: Bacterial small subunit ribosomal RNA
Source: RNAcentral